This 95-nucleotide small nuclear RNA is filed under the name Mesocricetus auratus (golden hamster). RNAcentral's name for it is "U2 spliceosomal RNA". It matches the Rfam family "U2 spliceosomal RNA". From Rfam's summary of the family: U2 is a small nuclear RNA (snRNA) component of the spliceosome (involved in pre-mRNA splicing). Complementary binding between U2 snRNA (in an area lying towards the 5' end but 3' to hairpin I) and the branchpoint sequence (BPS) of the intron results the bulging out of an unpaired adenosine, on the BPS, which initiates a nucleophilic attack at the intronic 5' splice site, thus starting the first of two transesterification reactions that mediate splicing. Lineage: Eukaryota; Metazoa; Chordata; Mammalia; Rodentia; Cricetidae. The record is from Rfam by way of RNAcentral.
AUCAUUUCUCAGCCUUUUGGCUAAGAUCAAGUGUGAUAUCUUUUCUUGCCAGUUUAAUAUAUGUUAAAUAUAUCCUGCUCCUCCAGAGAACUUUG